Molecule: long non-coding RNA, 593 nt
Organism: Selaginella moellendorffii
Lineage: Eukaryota; Viridiplantae; Streptophyta; Lycopodiopsida; Selaginellales; Selaginellaceae
Exons: 3
Source: RefSeq, a predicted model, not a curated record
UUCACAUGUGAUACUAACUCAAGUAUCUUUCAGGCCAGCACUUUCACAAUCUACUGGAGAAGCUAGAUUCGUCCUUCGACGUCAAGUGCCAGGAGACGGUCAAGGAGCUUGAAGAUUUCAGGUUGCAAAAUGCGCCCCUGAUUGAUCAACUGGAUAAACAGGAAGAGCAAAUCGCGAGAAAGCAAGACGAGGUGGAAAUUAUCACAAGUAACUUAAACGAGGCUCGGUCGAAGAAAGAAGCCGGGCUCAAGGCCUUACACGACGAAGUGGAGCUGAUACAAAACGAGGUUCUGAGAUACAACGAGGACUCGAUGAGAGUGAUUGAUUGAUUGAUUGAUUGAUUGAUUGUACCUCGUACCCAUCGCCUCCAGUGGACGUUUCAUAUAAUGACUUACCCACAGUAUGACGCGCGGUACCGGCGCACGACCCAACACCACUAGAGGCGUUCCAGCAAUACGUUCACGUUGACUAUUUUGACCGGACGGUUGGAAUGCGCUGACCAAAUGUUUUUAAGCGCCAUUUACAGAAAAUGUUUAAAAAGUAGCUCUAUAGUUGCGAGCCAAAACGAAAAGGAUUCGGUAUGGAGAUUUGUU